RNAcentral lists this ribosomal RNA (431 nucleotides) under uncultured bacterium. Its description in RNAcentral is "bacterial SSU rRNA". It matches the Rfam family "Bacterial small subunit ribosomal RNA", at positions 29 to 506 of the family's 1533-position model. The record is from RNAcentral.
ACGAACGCUGGCGGCAUGCCUAACACAUGCAAGUCGAACGAUCCCUUCGGGGAUAGUGGCGCACGGGUGCGUAACGCGUGGGAACCUGCCCUUAGGUUCGGAAUAACAGUUAGAAAUGACUGCUAAUACCGGAUAAUGUCUUCGGACCAAAGAUUUAUCGCCUUAGGAUGGGCCCGCGUUGGAUUAGCUAGUUGGUGGGGUAAAGGCUCACCAAGGCGACGAUCCAUAGCUGGUCUGAGAGGAUGAUCAGCCACACUGGGACUGAGACACGGCCCAGACUCCUACGGGAGGCAGCAGUGGGGAAUAUUGGACAAUGGGCGAAAGCCUGAUCCAGCAAUGCCGCGUGAGUGAUGAAGGCCUUCGGGUUGUAAAGCUCUUUUACUGGGGAUGAUAAUGACAGUACCCAGAGAAUAAGCUCCGGCUAACUCCGU